GCUUCCUUAGUUUAAUGGAUAGAACAAGCCCCUCCUAAGGGUUAGAUGCUGGUUCGACUCCAGCAGGAAGCG
RNAcentral lists this transfer RNA (72 nucleotides) under Pseudomonas putida. Its description in RNAcentral is "tRNA-Arg". It matches the Rfam family "tRNA". Rfam says of the family: Transfer RNA (tRNA) molecules are approximately 80 nucleotides in length. RNAcentral also lists the same sequence under 2 other names. Lineage: Bacteria; Pseudomonadati; Pseudomonadota; Gammaproteobacteria; Pseudomonadales; Pseudomonadaceae. The record is from RNAcentral.